GUAGAGGUGGCUCAGUGGUUAAGAGCACUGGCUGCUCUUCCAGAGGACCUGAGUUCAAUUCCCAGCAACCACA
Molecule: transfer RNA, 73 nt
Filed under: Cricetulus griseus (Chinese hamster)
Lineage: Eukaryota; Metazoa; Chordata; Mammalia; Rodentia; Cricetidae
Rfam family: tRNA
About the family: Transfer RNA (tRNA) molecules are approximately 80 nucleotides in length.
Source: Rfam by way of RNAcentral